GUGGUGAGCAGGAUUGUCCCUGAGGCCUGUGGGGUUAAGCUGGCGUAUUUGGGGAGCUCUGGAAAUACAUAAUAGCUCCUGCAGUAAAUCUUCUAGUGGCCAAGUUUUUACCUUCCCAUGAAUACAUAUAUUUUUACCCCAGGCAGGGAGAGUUGCCAGAGCUCCGAUGUGUCUCUCCCAGACUGUAAAGCGUGAAGACAGCUGCCUGGUGUGGAUGGAGUGACAGACGAUGUGUUCAGGUCUCUCCUGUGACAUCCAGAGCCCCUCAGUUCACUCUCAGCAAUAGUGUCUGAUGUUCCCUGUGAUCCCGUGGGCUCAAUGUGAAGAACUGGGAGCCCAGCCCACCCCUGCACACCUGACCCUGUCCCUGCACUGCCCUGUUCCCUUCCACAGCCAACCUUCCUGUUCCUGCAGACAGGAGGGGACAUCUCCAUCCUGUCUCCUCCAUGCUGCCCUGAGCUGCAGCCCUGACUUCCCCUCUGAAAAUAAGAAUCUGAACGUGAACUUGAUUGUUCAUGUCCUUGAUCUCAAAGGUUGAUUGGUGGUAAAAUAAAGGAUUGAGAUAGAAUUUAUGGAGGAAAUAAAUGGCAGCGUGGAGAACCUCCCAGAA
Alexandromys fortis (reed vole) is the source of this 610-nucleotide long non-coding RNA. RefSeq lists it as uncharacterized. NCBI's taxonomy places the organism in Eukaryota, Metazoa, Chordata, Mammalia, Rodentia, Cricetidae. The record is from RefSeq and is a predicted model, not a curated record. The transcript has 2 exons.